GGUUGAUCCUGCCAGUAGUCAUAUGCUUGUCUCAAAGAUUAAGCCAUGCAUGUCUAAGUAUAAACCAAAUUUAUAGUGAAACUGCGAAUGGCUCAUUAAAUCAGUUAUAAUUUACCUGAUAAUUUUAUACCAGUGGAUAACCGUGGUAAUUCUAUGGCUAAUACAUACAUUAAAGGGCUUUACUAUGUAAAGCCUGUAGUUAUUAGAUAAAAAACCAAUGCAUGCGAAUGCUUUUUUGGUGAUUCAUAGUAAACUUACAGAUCGUUGUCUUUGACGACGCGUCAAUCAAAUUU
RNAcentral lists this ribosomal RNA (293 nucleotides) under uncultured eukaryote. Its description in RNAcentral is "partial 18S ribosomal RNA". It matches the Rfam family "Eukaryotic small subunit ribosomal RNA", at positions 6 to 306 of the family's 1831-position model. The record is from RNAcentral.